RNAcentral lists this long non-coding RNA (200 nucleotides) under Elaeis guineensis (African oil palm). RNAcentral describes it as "long non-coding RNA (EGUI_LNC064393)". Lineage: Eukaryota; Viridiplantae; Streptophyta; Magnoliopsida; Arecales; Arecaceae. The record is from RNAcentral.
GGUCUUCUGGUAGAGUGGAGGUAGGGAUCCUCCGGGAGUAGAAUCGUGAUCAGACCGGGGGCUCUCCACCCUCAGAUUCUCCUUAUCGGGGAAGAUAGGAUGACUGGCCCAAGUGGCCCGCCCUACUGCCAGAUCUUGGAGCUCCGACGAUGCUCUUUCCAACCGCACUGACACCUGCGGCUGUUGCUGCUGGUGCUGCA